Scleropages formosus (Asian bonytongue) is the source of this 1633-nucleotide long non-coding RNA. Lineage: Eukaryota; Metazoa; Chordata; Actinopteri; Osteoglossiformes; Osteoglossidae. The record is from Ensembl.
CCGGGUGUGCGGACCCAACUGCGGGAUCGUGGUUUCCAAGGAUAUUCAGGAUGAGGCAGUACUCUCAGUCGGGAACAAGCAUGGGUCAAUCCGAGGUGCAAAUGCGGUCCGAGGGGAGAAUCCGAAGACGUGGUUGAUGAAGCGAAGCGAAACGAAGGUCGAUACCAUGGGAAACAGGAGCAGUGACAAGGAGGCGGGCGAGGAAACAAGGAAUGGGGUACAUGGAGGAAGGCCAGCGCAGAACAGGCCCCAGGCAGUGAGGGCCUUGACCUCCGCUGGAUCCAGAUGUGGAGGUCCCCAGGGGCCCUUUCCCGGCGCAGAACCUCAAAUGGAGAGCAGACGGGUCGGGCCCUGCGUCAGCCGUGUUCCCGAGUGCCCCAUCGCUCAGGUCAUGUUCACCGGACUCCAGUUCUACUGUCUGAACCGAAAAUAUGCAGUUGAUUAAUUACAGGAAAAAAGCCAAUUGAUUCCUCUACAUUAUUAUUAUUAUUAUCAUUGUUGAUUCGUUUUUUUCUGAAAAGUGACAGAUGUUUUUCAAACUGCUUUAUUCACACAUUCGUACAGAUGAGUAAUUUUUCCCGUAUCAAUUCAGUGUAAGUACCUUACCGUGCUGUACCCUACUACCGCUCGAGGUGGGAUUCAGACUUUGUUUUCCUUCAUUUCCAAAGCGGCGGCUCUAAGCAGGACGCCACCUGUUAAUCCUCAUCGGUAAUACCUGCUACAUGUCGUGUGCCGAUAAACGGUCACAUCCAUAAAGCAGAUUACAUGCGGGAUUUUCCACUUGUUCUGUCGCUCACGCCGAUCACGGUGAGUACUUCAAUGAGGGAGGUAAGUCGCCCCUGAGCUGAGCGCUGUCUCUACCGGCGCUGUUUUUAAUUGUCACCUUAAAACCGUGCCGUGUCACAUCGUGGGGCGGGGGCUGGGAGGGGUGGGCCUCCUCUUGGAAACAAGGCUUUUAUUAUUCAAGUCCCAGGCAAUAUCCCCUCCAUCCCUCCGUUUGGGGGAUAUAGAGUGUACCCAGGCCCCUGCGGCCCCCUGCGGAGGCCCACACCUGAGGAGCCAGGCCCGGGGGGGGGGGGGUUUACGAGCUCUGUUUCAGGGAGCCGUGGAGGUGCGCUGCGCGGCCGAGGCUCUUCGAACCCAGGCUGUUCGAACUCGAACCCUCGUUCCUUCGGUUUGAUUUACAGGCCGUUUAUUGGCAGCGUAACGAAGCGCAGCUGCUCGCUUUCGGGGCUGUUUCUGUGUCGUACAUGCCACACAUACACACACAUCGCCCGCUUCGCAUGAACUCGAACCCACAGUGACCGUCUCUUACAUCGCUGCCCCGUUACUCUAAAAUAUCCCGGCAUUCCCUUCUCUCGUGAAUACCUGGCACGAAACAAAAUGUGAAUUCGGCUUCAUAUGUGUGCAGUGACUGUCAUAUUUUAAAACGGAGGGGGCUUUAUAGUAUAGACGGUCCUUUCCGUGUGGAGGUGAACUGACUCAGAAAGGUGGAGAAGCUAUCCCGGCGACGUGUCCCUAAAAAAAAUUUUCAAAAAAAAAAAGAAAAAAUUUUCAAAAAAAAAAAAAACAUCUGACGCCCCGACUCCUGUCGUUAAAUAAACGUCUACGGGGGAAUUUGGAUGUUUUGAAA